CCACUUACUAAAGUUGGAGCUGACUUGCCUCUCUCGUGCUUCAGCAUUUUCCCGAGAAAGUUGAAUCUAAAUUUUCUAUCGAAAAUUUGAAAUGGGAGUGAAAGUAGGAUACACUUCGCCCUUCCUUCAAUGGGCGGCUCAUCCUUCUUCUUCUUCUCAAACCCUAGCUUCCAGAGCCAUCUCAUCUCCUUCAAAACGACGUCACAACGCGCCGUUUCCAUCCUGUCAGAGACUGAACCGCUCAGCUCUCUUCGGAACUCCUACAAAGCUCCAUCGCUCCAAGUCCUGCGAGCUAUGGCAACCAUCCACACCGACAAGGACCUAUUCGAUUCGAAGAGCUUGCAGCGCAAGCCUAGAUCCCUUCUCGGACGAAGAGUUCUCCAAGAAGAUCCAAGAGCUAACUCUCAGAUUCCACGACGAGAGAAAACAAAUGGAUUCAAUCGAGAUCGAAAUGAAAGCGAACAGUGUGGACCUUCCUCUCUCGAUUCGUAUGAUAAAGAAGAAGAGAAAAUGGGAGGAAGGAGUCAAGAAGAGCAACGCCUUCUCGGCGAUGAGCAAGGCCUUCUCCUCGAUGGUGUUCAUGAUCCGAGAGCUCCAGAGCUUCACUCUGCACAUGAGAGAGGUUCUCUUCUACGAAGACUUGCAAGGGAUCUUGCUUAGAGUUAGAGAAGAGAUGCACGCUUCCUUCGUUUGGCUGUUCCAGCAGGUCUUCUCCGCCACCCCUACCUUGAUGGUCUAUGUGAUGAUACUCCUCGCGAACUUCACCGUUUAUUCUAUCAGUAGCAACUCUGCUUUAGCCGCAGCCGCAGCCGCUCCUCCUCCGACCACCACCACCGUGACAGAGCUAACAACCGAGAAGUUCGAUUCAUCAUCGGUUGUCAAAACGUUCUUUGUAUCGUCUCCCAACGGGAAUACGGCUUCCCUGGGCGGCAACAACAAUGGCGGCGGCGGCGGGAACAUCCGGCCGGUGUUGAGCGGAACUGAUGGCGAUGAUGGAUCAGAACAGUUCAGAACAAGCAUACCCGAAGGAGUCUCGUCAACGCUCGGGUCAACGACAACAGAGUCAGAGGAGACAUCAGUGUCGGGACAAGACGAACUCAGGCUGUGGAAUUCGGUUGUGGAGGAAGCAGAGCAAAUGCAGUUUUCAAAUACAGACGAUGCACUGUUGGAUCACGGGACGAGGAAGCGGUUCGUGUCUCCUUUGGAUGCUCGAGUAGAAGAAGCAGAUGAGGACAUUCAUUACUUCAGAACAGAGCUUCUCUACCAAACAGGACUGUCUCAAGAGCCUAAUAAUCCUCUGCUUCUCGCUAACUAUGCUCAGUUCCUCUACAUCGUCUCUAAUGACUAUGACAGCAGAAUAUAUUCGACCAAGAGAGUUGAACCAUUUCUUUUCCUCUUGGAGUAAUAAGACAGUGCAUAAAAAUAUCUAGCGGGGAAUAAAUAAAGACAUAAGAUUAGUUCAAGCCAAUGAGCUUCGAGUCUUUGAGGGCUGAUGAUAGUGGAGUUUACGGUGGAGCUUUAAAGACACCCCACCAGAAUCCAACAAGUUAAAAGAGCAGAAGAAUACUUCAAAAGAGCGGUAGAAGUGGAACCGAAAGACGCAGAGGCCCUGAGCAAAUACGCCACGUUCUUAUGGAGAGCACGGGACGAUCUUUGGGCUGCUGAGGAGACUUUCUUGGAAGCAAUCGAUGCCGAUCCCACCAACUCUUUCUAUGCCGCUAAUUACGCUAAUUUUCUAUGGAACACUGGCGGUGAUGAGACGUGUUUCCCUCUCGACGAGUCUCAGGAAGAC
This is an RNA transcript of Brassica napus (rape), 1792 nucleotides long. RefSeq lists it as uncharacterized. The record is from RefSeq and is a predicted model, not a curated record. The transcript is spliced from 3 exons. NCBI's taxonomy places the organism in Eukaryota, Viridiplantae, Streptophyta, Magnoliopsida, Brassicales, Brassicaceae.